UCUGAUCACGUAUCUAGAUUGAACGCCAUGGAUGCUUUACACAUGCAAGUCGAACGGCAGCACUGACUUCGGUCUGGUGGCGAGGGCGAACGGUGAGUAAAUGUACCGGAACGUGCCCAGUAGCGGGGGAUAACUACGAAAGCGGUGUAGCUAAUACCGCAUACGCCCUUCGGGGGAAAGCGGGGACCUCGGGCCUGCACCAUUAGAGCGGCCGAUAUCGGAUUAGCUAUUGGUGCACGGCCUGGCGACGAUCCGUAGCUGGUUUGAGAGGAUCAUCUGCGCCACACUGGGACUGAGACACGGCCCAGACUCCUACGGGAGGCAGCAGGGGAAUUUUGACAACGGGAAAUCCCUGAUCCAGCCAUCCCCGCGUGUGAUGAAGGCCUCGGAAGCCAAAGCACUUUGGCAGGAAAGAAACGGCACGUGGGAUAAUACCUGUGCAACUGACGGUGGCCUGAGAAUAAGCACCGGUUAACUACGCCACAGCCGCGUAAUACGUAGGGUGCAAGUUAAUCGGAAUUACUGGGCGCAGCGCAGGCGGUUCGAAAAAGAAAGAUGAAAUCCCAGAGCUUAACUUUGAACUGCAUUUUUAACUACCGAGCUGAGAGUGCCAACAGGAAAGGAAAUCUUGCGUAGCAGUGUCGUGUAGAUAUGGAGGAACACCGAUGGCGAAGGCAGCCUCCUGGGAUAACACUGACGCUCAUGCACGAAAGCGUGGGGAGCAAACAGGAUUAGAUACCCUGGUAGUCCACGCCCUAAACGAUGCUAGCUGUUGGGGCCUUCGGGCCUUGGUAGCGCAGCUAACGCGUGAAGUUGACCGCCUGGGGAGUACGGUCGCAAGAUUAAAACUCAAAGGAAUUGACGGCACCCGCACAAGCGGUGGAUGAUGUGGAUUAAUUCGAUGCAACGCGAAAAACUCAAUACCUACCCUUGACAUGUUCCGAAUCCUGAAGAGAUUUGGGAGUGCUCGCAAGAACUGGAACACAGGUGCUGCAUGGCUGUCGUCAGCUCGUGUCGUGAGAUGUUGGGCUAAGUCCCGCAACGAGCGCAACCCUUGUCAUUAGUUGCUACGAAAGGGCACUCAAUGAGAUCGCCGGUGACAAACCGGAGGAAGGUGGACACGUCAAGUCCCUGCGGCCUUUAUGGGUAGGGCUUCAUACGUCAUACAAUGGUCGGGACAGGAGGGCCGCCAACCUGGCGAGGGAGCCAUCCCAGAAACCGAUCGUAGUCCGGAUCGCAGUCUGCAACUCGACUGCGUAGUCGGAAUCGCUAGUAAUCGCGGAUCAGCAUGUCGCGGUGAAUACGUUCCUGGCCCGGUACAUUAACGCCCGUCACACCAUGGGAGUGGGUUUUACCAGAAGCAGUUAGCCUAACCGCGAGGCGAUUACCACGGUAGGAUUCAUGACUGGGGUGAAGUCAACAAGGUAGCCCCAGCGCUACCUGAUG
RNAcentral lists this ribosomal RNA (1446 nucleotides) under uncultured Bordetella sp. RNAcentral describes it as "partial 16S-23S ribosomal RNA intergenic spacer". It matches the Rfam family "Bacterial small subunit ribosomal RNA". Lineage: Bacteria; Pseudomonadati; Pseudomonadota; Betaproteobacteria; Burkholderiales; Alcaligenaceae. The record is from RNAcentral.